AUGGCCGCCGCCGCCGCCGCCGCCUGCAGGUAUAUGUACCUGUGGCAACCCAACCCCAAACCCGGCCAUCUUCUACCACGACGGGCCAGCACCACACCGCCAUUCCAACACCCACGGCACGCCGUCGUUGCCUCGCCGUCGCGCUCUAGGAGUAAUAGGAUGGCCUGCCGGGGAGCAAACUCCGACGACGUGGCGGCCACGACGACGGCGCACUUCGUCUUCGUCCCGCUGAUGCACCACGGCCACCUGAUCCCGGCGGUGGACGCGGCGAUGCAGCUAGCCGCCCACGGCGCGCUCUCCAGCAUCGUCGUCACGCCGACCUACGCCGCGCGCCUCCGCCCCGCGGUCGAGUCGUCGGGCCUGCCGGUCCGGCUCAUGGAGCUCCCGCUCGACCUCGCCGGGACCGACGACGUCGACCGGAUCCCGCUAGACCAGGAGGCCACCUACCUCCUCGCCGCGUCGCGCCUUCGUGGGCCGCUGGAGCGCCACCUCCGCGCGCAUGCGCCGCCUGUCACGUGCGUCGUGUCCGACAUCUGUCACCCGUGGACCGCCGGCCUAGCCAUGAGCCUCGGCGUCCCGCGGCUCAGCUUCCUCGGCAUGUCCGCCUACUGCCUCCUCUGCCUGCAGACGGAGCACCACGCGGCGGCCAUGCACAACGCCUACGCCGCAGCGGACCCCUACUGGCACCUCAUGCCCGAGGAGCCGGUCGAGGUGAAGGUGCCCACCGCGCCCCCCGGGUUCAUGCGGCUGCCGGCGUCUGAGAAGCUGGCGUACGAGAAGCUGGCAUACGCCGUCGAGCGGGCGGGCGUCGACGUCGACGGCGUCCUCCUCAACACCUUCCUCGAGCUGGAGCCGGGGACGGUCGUGGACAGCGGGGAGGUCAGGAGCGUCAACGUGUGGGCCGUCGGUCCGGUGUCGCUGUUCCACCAGCACGAGCACCAGCACUCGGCGGCGCUUGCGGCGAGAGGGAACGCGCCCGCCGUCGACGCCGACGAGUGCCUCCGAUGGCUCGACGGUAAGGAGCCGUCCUCCGUCGUCUACGUCAGCUUCGGGAGCAGCGUCGUGCACGCGCGCCCAGAGCAGGUGGUGGAGACCGGGCUUGGCCUUGAGGCGUCGGGGCACCCGUUCAUCUGGGUGGUAUCACCGGAGAACGCCGGGCAGGACGAGGACGAGGAGGUCCGCAGGUUCCUUGAGGAGCUGGAGGGCCGGUUGUCCGGCCGCGGCCUGCUGAUCAAGGGCUGGGCACCGCAGCAGCUGAUCUUGUCCCACGCGUCGGUGGGUGGCAUCGUGACGCACUGCGGGUGGAACUCGAUGAUGGAGGCGGUCGCGGCGGGGCUCCCGGUGGCGACAUGGCCGCAUAUGGCGCACCAGUUCCUGAACGAAAUGUUGGCCGUGCAGUCGAUGGGGACCGGCGUGAGCGUCGGGGUGGAGUGGUUGAAGGAGGAGGACGGGGAGGUGGCGGUGGUGGAGCGAGGGGCGGUGGAGAAGGCGGUGAGGAGCAUCAUGGGCGGAGGAGACGAGGCGGUGGAGAGGCGGGGGAGGGCGGCGGCGCUCGCGACGACGGCGAGAGAGGCCGUCCGGGAGGGCGGAUCAGCGUUCAUCAACCUGCGUCGUUUGGUGAAACGUUACCAAGCAGCGACGCCGCAGGAUGCAUCAACAUCACCUCAAAUAUGA
Molecule: ribosomal RNA, 1674 nt
Filed under: Triticum aestivum (bread wheat)
Lineage: Eukaryota; Viridiplantae; Streptophyta; Magnoliopsida; Poales; Poaceae
Description: partial small subunit ribosomal RNA
Source: RNAcentral